Entelurus aequoreus (snake pipefish) is the source of this 315-nucleotide long non-coding RNA. RefSeq lists it as uncharacterized. Lineage: Eukaryota; Metazoa; Chordata; Actinopteri; Syngnathiformes; Syngnathidae. The transcript has 4 exons. The record is from RefSeq and is a predicted model, not a curated record.
GCCAGUCCAAGUCCAUCAACUAUUCCAUGUGGAGUACAAUCUUACAGGCAUUAGGAGUCCUUGAGCAUUCAAAAGACCAUCUUCAAGAUGCUUUGUGACCAUCUCUUCAGGAUGGGCAGUUUUGUGGGCGGUCUUAUUUAUGUGCCUUAUGGGUGUAACGAGCCGACUACCAGCGCCGGAUUUUUUCAUUAAGCUGUGUGUGACUGUAGAAAUGGAGUUGUCACGCAGUAGAACACGGGAAUAGAGCAGCAGCGACACUGACUCCAUUAAUGACGACUUCGACGAGACGGAGCCGUGUUGGAUGCCGUAUUCGCC